This 401-nucleotide transfer-messenger RNA is filed under the name Anaerolineaceae. RNAcentral describes it as "T78 sp012839565 Standard tmRNA". It matches the Rfam family "transfer-messenger RNA". Rfam says of the family: Bacterial tmRNA, also known as 10Sa RNA or SsrA, is named for its dual tRNA and mRNA-like properties. The record is from RNAcentral. RNAcentral also lists the same sequence under 1 other name. Lineage: Bacteria; Bacillati; Chloroflexota; Anaerolineae; Anaerolineales.
GGGGAUGCCAGGUCUCGACGGGAGAGGCUGGUUCCGGAUUGCGAGCCGAGAGGUGCCGAACUCGUAAAAUCAGUACAAAACAAUAAGUGCCAAUCGCACAUCCUACGCUACCCUUCCCCUCGCUGCAUAAGCGAGAACUAAAGGUGGCUGAUCUCCAGAGAUGAGAUCACGUCUCCCGAGACCGUUUAUCUGACCGGUCGCGGUAAAGAUGUCAUAAAAGUCAGAUUGCUGAUUAUCUUUCCGUGAGAUAAUCCUAAGAGGGCUUUCGGGUCCAAGCGGAUCGCCUGAUGUUUAUUCAGUUAGCUAGAUUGCAUCAGGUUAAAUGAAAUAGCUAACUACGCUCGUAGAGAUUCGAGAGUCUAAUCUUUCGGACGCGGGUUCGACUCCCGCCAUCUCCACAA